Molecule: ribosomal RNA, 621 nt
Filed under: Staphylococcus aureus
Lineage: Bacteria; Bacillati; Bacillota; Bacilli; Caryophanales; Staphylococcaceae
Description: partial 23S ribosomal RNA
Rfam family: Bacterial large subunit ribosomal RNA
Source: RNAcentral
GAUCCUGAGUACGACGGAGCACGUGAAAUUCCGUCGGAAUCUGGGAGGACCAUCUCCUAAGGCUAAAUACUCUCUAGUGACCGAUAGUGAACCAGUACCGUGAGGGAAAGGUGAAAAGCACCCCGGAAGGGGAGUGAAAUAGAACCUGAAACCGUGUGCUUACAAGUAGUCAGAGCCCGUUAAUGGGUGAUGGCGUGCCUUUUGUAGAAUGAACCGGCGAGUUACGAUUUGAUGCAAGGUUAAGCAGUAAAUGUGGAGCCGUAGCGAAAGCGAGUCUGAAUAGGGCGUUUAGUAUUUGGUCGUAGACCCGAAACCAGGUGAUCUACCCUUGGUCAGGUUGAAGUUCAGGUAACACUGAAUGGAGGACCGAACCGACUUACGUUGAAAAGUGAGCGGAUGAACUGAGGGUAGCGGAGAAAUUCCAAUCGAACCUGGAGAUAGCUGGUUCUCUCCGAAAUAGCUUUAGGGCUAGCCUCAAGUGAUGAUUAUUGGAGGUAGAGCACUGUUUGGACGAGGGGCCCCUCUCGGGUUACCGAAUUCAGACAAACUCCGAAUGCCAAUUAAUUUAACUUGGGAGUCAGAACAUGGGUGAUAAGGUCCGUGUUCGAAAGGGAAACAGCC